GCUAUUCUGCUGAAUGGUGAUAUUUUUCUCAAUGCUGCAGGGACAGGAACACUGGUAUCUGGGAUGAAGUAUCAAUAUCUAUUACUGGACCUGUGAAGAUUAUUGAUCCGCACCUGGUUUCAUCAUUUUUUGAUGGUUUUAAGAGGGCAUACUUGCAUACUACUGUUGAAUUGGAAAACGAAAGUUCGUGGGCUGCAGAGUGUUCACUGAACCUCCAGGUGACAACAGAGGUAGAAGGAAAUAUUUGCUUGAUUGAACACCAUCAGACUUAUGCCGUUUCAGUUCCUCCUGGAAAAGUUAUUCAGUACACUGUUCCUCCACUCUUCUUUUACAAACCCGUGUUAUGGUGGCCGAAUGGUAUGGGUAAGCAGUCUCUAUAUAAUGUCGAGAUUUCUAUUGAUGUAAAAGGAUUUGGGGAAUCCGAUUCAUGGAAUCAUCAAUUUGGAUUCCGCAAGAUAGAGAACACAAUCGAUGAGGCGACUGGUGGAAGACUAUUCAAGGUGAACGGCGAACGAGUUUUCAUUCGCGGGGGAAACUGGAUAUUGUCGGAUGGACUAUUGCGGCUUUCGGAGAAACGAUACAUGUCAGACAUAAAAUUCCAUGCAGAUAUGAACUUUAACAUGAUCCGGUGCUGGGGUGGAGGACUGUCAGAGAGACCAGAAUUCUACCA
Asparagus officinalis (garden asparagus) is the source of this 670-nucleotide long non-coding RNA. RefSeq lists it as uncharacterized. NCBI's taxonomy places the organism in Eukaryota, Viridiplantae, Streptophyta, Magnoliopsida, Asparagales, Asparagaceae. The record is from RefSeq and is a predicted model, not a curated record. The transcript has 4 exons.